Long non-coding RNA from Dendronephthya gigantea, 235 nucleotides. RefSeq lists it as uncharacterized. Lineage: Eukaryota; Metazoa; Cnidaria; Anthozoa; Malacalcyonacea; Nephtheidae. The transcript has 4 exons. The record is from RefSeq and is a predicted model, not a curated record.
AAAUAUUCAAGCACUUGGCGCGAGCUUAGAGUCUCGUGGCCUGAUUGAAGCAGCUCAUCUUUGCUACAUAUUAGCAGGAGAAGAAAUUAGUAAACAGAGUGGCACACUGUUACUAGGUUAUUCUUCGAAUGAAAUCCGACCAGAAUUCGUGGAUUUCCUGGCUCUUCAACGCACAGAGAUAUAUGAAUACGCUAUGAGCCUCAAAGAUGAAAAUUUUAUAAUAAAAGACUUCCAG